AGUAGCGUAUUAUCCUACAGAAUGCAUUCCGUUCAAAUGCCAGAAAGUAGGAAGAUUACAUUUUCAAAGUAAUUUGGGUGAUUGUGUGACUCGAGUAUCCUUAAACUGAAAACAUUCCAGUUUUGCAUUGUUCAGUCAAAGCCCUGAAACUUGAUCAAACAAUUGAAAACUGAAACGAAUCUGUAUUGUAUCGUCUUAUUUUGCAAACUGAAUAUCUUUUCCCAAAUCCCCCAUCUUAACUUCACCAGGAAAUUUUCCACCCGGUUGCAAAGCCGACCGGCACUGGUGCUGCGCACUCCUCCGCGCAGCGCCACACAUCCCCCUCCCAAGCCAAUGUCGCGAUAAGCACUCCUGACAAGAAUGAUAAUUUGCCCCAGGGGGGGGGGGCUGUGCUCGUCCGAGCCGGAAGUUCAUCGCCGGCAGAUGGGGAGUUAAUUGCACUGGAGGCACACAGAUGCCGCGGCGUCGGCGGCGUGGAUUCAAUGAACGGAUGGAGGAACGGAUUGUUUGUCAAGUAAUUAGGGGGGGGGGGGAUUUGCUUUCAUUUUGAGCCAACAAUUGAUGUAACAGAGAGGCGGUCCCACCUGAGGAGAGCGGUGAUGCCUGCUUUAACUGCCGCUGUUUGUGUGUGUCGACGAGAACGAGAUCCCGGAUACAAGCGGCUGAAAUGAGUUUUCUCCGCAGGGUGUCCGGGCUCUCCCUUAGAGAUAAGGUGAGAAGCUCGGUCAUCCGGGAGGGGCUCAGAGUCGAGCCGCUUCUCCUCCACAUCGAGAGGAGCCAGAUGAGGUGGCUUGGGCAUCUGAUUCGGAUGCCUCCUGAGCGCCUCCCCGGUGAGGUGUUCCGGUCAUGUCCCACCGGGAGGAGACCCCGAGGAAGACCCAGGACACGCUGGAGAGACUAUGUCACCCAGCUGGCCUGGGAACGACUCGGGAUCCCCCGGGGAGAGCUGGAAGAAGUAGCUAGGGAGAGGGAAGUCUGGGCUUCCCUGCUAAAGCUGUUGCCCCCGCGACCCGGCCCCGGAUAAGCGGUAGAUGAUGGAUGGAUGGAUGGAUGGACUUCUCUGUACCCAUUUUUGACUAAGUACUGUUUUGUUUUGAUGAUCUGGCUUUUGUGCGUGUACUCGUGUUACAUUGUUUUUCGUUGGUAGUUUGCGGUCUUUAUUUUUCUUCCUUGCUCUUUUGUACAAGCACUUUUUGUUACUCAUUUGGAUUUGCCUCCUGGUCCUUAUUGUGGACCAAGCGCUUUAUUUUCUCACCAUCGGUGCGAUUGAGAGAUUAAAUUGUUUUUUCCUACGGAGACCUUGUUUUUGUCUACGCUUUUUGGAUCCCUACAAAAACGGUUUAUCCGAGACAUAACAAGAGCUCCAGCUCUGCAUUUAGCGGCAGAAUUAUGCAGUUAGCAUUUGGCUAAAGACAUUAGCGGUAAAGUAAACAAUAUCGUCGCCUUUGCGCGCAGUUAUCGGCGACGUCGUUGCGCAUGAAGGAUGCCCCUCAAAACGCUUGUCCCAUUCGGACCAGCCUCGUUCCGCAUAAAGUUUGACCUUGGUUCAGUUCAACCGCCGUUUAUUUUUUUUUUCAUUUUUGGUUUU
Hippocampus zosterae (dwarf seahorse) is the source of this 1588-nucleotide long non-coding RNA. RefSeq lists it as uncharacterized. The record is from RefSeq and is a predicted model, not a curated record. The transcript has 2 exons. Lineage: Eukaryota; Metazoa; Chordata; Actinopteri; Syngnathiformes; Syngnathidae.